CACUGGAACCACAGUUCACUGUGUUCGAUGAACGCUGGCGGCAGGCCUAACACAUGCAAGUCGAACGGUAACAGGAAGCAGCUUGCUGCUUUGCUGACGAGUGGCGGACGGGUGAGUAAUGUCUGGGAAACUGCCUGAUGGAGGGGGAUAACUAC
Molecule: ribosomal RNA, 155 nt
Filed under: Salmonella enterica subsp. enterica serovar Cerro
Lineage: Bacteria; Pseudomonadati; Pseudomonadota; Gammaproteobacteria; Enterobacterales; Enterobacteriaceae
Description: partial 16S ribosomal RNA
Rfam family: Bacterial small subunit ribosomal RNA (bases 27-155)
Source: RNAcentral